This 927-nucleotide ribosomal RNA is filed under the name uncultured bacterium. RNAcentral describes it as "bacterial SSU rRNA". It matches the Rfam family "Bacterial small subunit ribosomal RNA", at positions 8 to 911 of the family's 1533-position model. The record is from RNAcentral.
AGAGUUUGAUCCUGGCUCAGAACGAACGCUGGCGGCGUGCCUAACACAUGCAAGUCGAACGGAUUUGAGGGGCUUGCUCCUCAAGUUAGUGGCGCACGGGUGAGUAACGCGUAGAUAAUCUGCCCGACGAUCUGGGAUAACACUUCGAAAGGGGUGCUAAUACCGGAUAAGCCCACGGGGACUUUGGUCUUUGCGGGAAAAGGGGGGGACCUUCGGGCCUUCUGUCGUCGGAUGAGUCUGCGUACCAUUAGCUAGUUGGUAGGGUAAAGGCCUACCAAGGCUACGAUGGUUAGCUGGUCUGAGAGGAUGAUCAGCCACACUGGAACUGAGACACGGUCCAGACUCCUACGGGAGGCAGCAGUGGGGAAUUUUGCGCAAUGGGCGAAAGCCUGACGCAGCAACGCCGCGUGAGUGAUGAAGGCUUUCGGGUCGUAAAGCUCUGUCGAGGGGAAAGAAGUGUAUUGUGGCUAAUAUUCACGAUACUUGACGGUACCCCUAAAGGAAGCACCGGCUAACUCCGUGCCAGCAGCCGCGGUAAUACGGGGGGUGCAAGCGUUGUUCGGAAUUAUUGGGCGUAAAGCGCGUGUAGGCGGUUUGUUUAGUCUGAUGUGAAAGCCCUGGGCUCAACCCAGGAAGUGCAUUGGAAACUGGCAGACUUGAAUACGGGAGAGGGUAGUGGAAUUCCUAGUGUAGGAGUGAAAUCCGUAGAUAUUAGGAGGAACACCGGUGGCGAAGGCGGCUGCCUGGACCGAUAUUGACGCUGAGACGCGAAAGCGUGGGUAGCAAACAGGAUUAGAUACCCUGGCUAGUCCACGCCGUAAACGAUGAGUACUAGGUGUUGCGGGUAUUGACCCCUGCAGUGCCGCAGCUAACGCAUUAAGUACUCCGCCUGGGAAGUACGGUCGCAGACUAAAACUCAAAGGAUUG